Lutra lutra (Eurasian river otter) is the source of this 611-nucleotide long non-coding RNA. RefSeq lists it as uncharacterized. The record is from RefSeq and is a predicted model, not a curated record. NCBI's taxonomy places the organism in Eukaryota, Metazoa, Chordata, Mammalia, Carnivora, Mustelidae. The transcript has 3 exons.
GAUGCCUCCUCCUAUAGGAAGUGCACACCAGGGGCCUGCGGGCCGAAAGUGGCUUCCUGAUCAUUUUUGAUGGGUGUUGCCCCAAAGUGUUAGCCUGCACUGCAUUUGAAAUUGGGAUCAGUUGCCAAAAUAGAAAAAAGAAUCUCAAGAUUUCUACAUGGAAACAGAUUUCCAGCAUGUCGGACAUGUUCUGAAAGCCCUCUGGAGCUGAUGGCUAUUUGUAGACACCUCUUUCCAGCUGAAAGAUGAAGGAGGUGACACCUAACGAGGGAUGGGAUGGCUGCAGCCGCUGCUGUGAGUUGGGAGUGUGGCUGGGGCUGGCAGGAGCUGCUGGACAUCAGGCUGGUACCAUCACAGCCACUGCUGAAGGGGACCUACUUUGCCCGCAUUUGUGCACCAGCCCACUGCCGCUGGAGGGAUCCGAGGACACAGUGAUAACCUGGCAUCAUGGAGAGAGCCCUGUAGUGAAAGACUCAUGCCCUGAAGUCUGGCUGCCUGGGUUCCAGUUCCCUGGCUGUGGCUGUGCCUCUCACACACUGUGUCUGCCGGCUGGUGAUUUCCUUUGCAGGUUCCUCCUUGCUCUGAAAUUCAAGGGUUUUUGGAUUCUAACA